AACGAACGCUGGCGGCAGGCCUAACACAUGCAAGUCGAGCGCCCAGCAAUGGGAGCGGCAGACGGGUGAGUAACACGUGGGAACCUUCCCUAUAGUACGGAAUAGCCCAGGGAAACUUGGAGUAAUACCGCAUACGCCCGAGAGGGGAAAGAUUUAUCGCUAUAGGAUGGGCCCGCGUAGGAUUAGCUAGUUGGUGAGGUAAUGGCCCACCAAGGCGACGAUCCUUAGCUGGUCUGAGAGGACGACCAGCCACACUGGGACUGAGACACGGCCCAGACUCCUACGGGAGGCAGCAGUGGGGAAUAUUGGACAAUGGGCGCAAGCCUGAUCCAGCCAUGCCGCGUGAGUGAUGAAGGCCUUAGGGUUGUAAAGCUCUUUUGCCGGGGACGAUAAUGACGGUACCCGGAGAAUAAGUCCCGGCUAACUUCGUGCCAGCAGCCGCGGUAAU
Molecule: ribosomal RNA, 448 nt
Filed under: uncultured bacterium
Lineage: Bacteria
Description: bacterial SSU rRNA
Rfam family: Bacterial small subunit ribosomal RNA
Source: RNAcentral